Molecule: non-coding RNA, 109 nt
Organism: Populus trichocarpa (black cottonwood)
Lineage: Eukaryota; Viridiplantae; Streptophyta; Magnoliopsida; Malpighiales; Salicaceae
Source: Rfam
UAAUCUAUUUGGAGUAGAUUUUUAUUUAAAUAUGAAUGACUUAUACUUGAUUGCUCAGAAUCACUUACUACUACAUCGAACAAUAACUUUUUAAGAUUUUUAUUGGAGU